CCUACGGGUGGCAGCAGUGGAGAAUAUUGGGCAAUGGGCGCAAGCCUGACCCAGCAACGCCGCGUGAAGGAAGAAGGCUUUCGGGUUGUAAACUUCUUUUGUCAGGGACGAAGCAAGUGACGGUACCUGACGAAUAAGCCACGGCUAACUACGCUCCAGCAGCCGCGGUAAUACGGAGGUGGCAAGCGUUAUACGGAUUUACUGGGUGUAAAGGGCGUGUAGGCGGGGGAGCAAGUCAGAUGUGAAAACCACGGGCUCAACCUGUGGACGGCAUUUGAAACUGUUUUUCUUGAGUGCUGGAGGGGCAAUCGGAAUUCCGGGUGUAGCAGUGAAAUGCGUAGAUAUACGGAGGAACACCAGUGGCGAAGGCGGAUUGCUGGACAGUAACUGACGCCGAGGCGCGAAAGCGUGGGGAGCAAACAGGAUUAGAUACCCGAGUAGUC
This 443-nucleotide ribosomal RNA is filed under the name uncultured bacterium. RNAcentral describes it as "partial 16S ribosomal RNA". It matches the Rfam family "Bacterial small subunit ribosomal RNA", at positions 338 to 795 of the family's 1533-position model. The record is from RNAcentral.